Molecule: ribosomal RNA, 119 nt
Filed under: Pteropus alecto (black flying fox)
Lineage: Eukaryota; Metazoa; Chordata; Mammalia; Chiroptera; Pteropodidae
Also listed under: 1 other name
Source: RNAcentral
AUCUAUGGCCAUGCCACCCUGAACAAGCCCGAUCCCGUCUGAUCUCGGAAGCUAAGCAGGAUCGGGCCUGGUUUGUACUUGGAUGGGAGACCACCUAGGAAGACCAGGUACUGUAGCUG